UACUCUCGACAACGAAUAUCUCAGCUCUCGUAUCGAUGAAGAAGGUAGCGAAAUGCGAUGCUUGGUGUGAAUUGCGGAAUCCCGUGAACCAUCGAGUCUUUGAACGCAAGUUGCGCCUGAAGCUAUUUGGCCGAGGGAACGUCUGCCUGGGCGUCA
Non-coding RNA from Solanum lycopersicum (tomato), 156 nucleotides. NCBI's taxonomy places the organism in Eukaryota, Viridiplantae, Streptophyta, Magnoliopsida, Solanales, Solanaceae. The record is from Rfam.